UGAGGAAUAUUGGUCAAUGGGCGGGAGCCUGAACCAGCCAAGCCGCGUGAGGGAGGAAGGCCCUAUGGGUCGUAAACCUCUUUUGUCAGGGAACAAAAGCGAGUAUGUAUACUAGUCUGAGUGUACCUGAAGAAAAAGCAUCGGCUAACUCCGUGCCAGCAGCCGCGGUAAUACGGAGGAUGCGAGCGUUAUCCGGAUUUAUUGGGUUUGAAGGGUGCGUAGGCGGCGGUGCAAGUCAGCGGUAAAAGCCCGGGGCUCAACCCCGGCGAGCCGUUGAAACUGCAGUGCUAGAGAAGGCGAGAGGUACGCGGAAUGCGCAGUGUAGCGGUGAAAUGCUUAGAUAUUGCGCAGAACUCCGAUUGCGAAGGCAGCGUACUGGCGCCUGACUGACGCUGAGGCACGAAAGCGUGGGGAUCGAACAGGAUUAGAUACCC
RNAcentral lists this ribosomal RNA (434 nucleotides) under uncultured bacterium. RNAcentral describes it as "bacterial SSU rRNA". It matches the Rfam family "Bacterial small subunit ribosomal RNA", at positions 355 to 787 of the family's 1533-position model. The record is from RNAcentral.